CCUACGGGAGGCAGCAGUGGGGAAUCUUGCGCAAUGGGCGAAAGCCUGACGCAGCGACGCCGCGUGAGUGAUGAAGGCCUUCGGUUGUAAAGCUCUGGGGGAGAAGGUCCGGUACCUUUUUAGCAAGCACCGGCUAACUCUGUGCCAGCAGCCGCGGUAAGACAGAGGGUGCAAACGUUGUUCGGAAUUACGGGCGUAAAGCGCGUGUAGGCUGCUCGGAAAGUCGGAUGUGAAAGCCCUGGGCUUAACCCAGGAAGUGCAUUCGAAACUUCCGAGCUCGAGUCCUGGAGAGGGUGGCGGAAUUCUCGGUGUAGAGGUGAAAUUCGUAGAUAUCGAGAGGAACACCGGUGGCGAAGCGGCUACCUGGCAUGACUGACGCUGAGACGCGAAAGCGUGGGGAGCAAACAGGAUUAGAUACCCUUGUAGUC
RNAcentral lists this ribosomal RNA (428 nucleotides) under uncultured bacterium. RNAcentral's name for it is "partial 16S ribosomal RNA". It matches the Rfam family "Bacterial small subunit ribosomal RNA", at positions 338 to 795 of the family's 1533-position model. The record is from RNAcentral.